AGCAUAAGAAAAACCACGCACCUGAGAUGAAGAGAGAAAAAGGAGAGGACGGAGACAAUGACGUUAUGAGAAAAUACAAUGCAAUGCCGGAAGAGAUAAAAAGUAGAGGUGCGCAAGGGAGUAAAAGAAGAGGAGAAGCAGGGAAAAAGGAGAAGAGAUGAAGACGCGAUCAGAAACUGAGUGGUUAGAAGGGUCUGCGAUUUAUUUAAAAUGAAAUUGGGCGUCGGUUGCGCCAGAAAUCGACGUCUAUAGACGUCAGUGUUUGAUCGGGAUCCGACGUCUAUUCUUCUUAAAGAAGCUGAAAAGAUUGACGCUUGAUUUCCUGUCAGGGUAGUUCACGUCGGUGCCCCUCCUAGCCGACGUCUAAAACCCUCGAAUUUGGUGAAAAUAAUUAAUUACAGGAAC
Molecule: long non-coding RNA, 405 nt
Filed under: Vigna radiata
Lineage: Eukaryota; Viridiplantae; Streptophyta; Magnoliopsida; Fabales; Fabaceae
Description: long non-coding RNA (VRAD_LNC011687)
Source: RNAcentral